This 45-nucleotide non-coding RNA is filed under the name Schistosoma margrebowiei. Lineage: Eukaryota; Metazoa; Platyhelminthes; Trematoda; Strigeidida; Schistosomatidae. The record is from RNAcentral.
AUCCAGUUGACGAGUCCAAAAUAGGACGAAACGCGUGUCCUGAAU